RNAcentral lists this ribosomal RNA (380 nucleotides) under uncultured eukaryote. RNAcentral's name for it is "partial 18S ribosomal RNA". It matches the Rfam family "Eukaryotic small subunit ribosomal RNA", at positions 592 to 976 of the family's 1831-position model. The record is from RNAcentral.
CAAUAGCGUAUAUUUAAGUUGUUGCAGUUAAAAAGCUCGUAGUUGGAUUUGUGGUGUACUUUGGCGGCCCGUCACUAUGUGAUGGAGCUUGCUGAAGUCGCCAUCCUUGGGUGGAUCCUGUGUGGCAUUAAGUUGUCGUGCAGGGGAUGCCCAUCGUUUACUGUGAAAAAAUUAGAGUGUUCAAAGCAGGCUUAUGCCGUUGAAUAUAUUAGCAUGGAAUAAUAAGAUAGGACCUUGGUACUAUUUUGUUGGUUUGCGCACCAAGGUAAUGAUUAAUAGGGACAGUUGGGGGUAUUCGUAUUUCAUUGUCAGAGGUGAAAUUCUUGGAUUUUUGAAAGACGAACUACUGCGAAAGCAUUUACCAAGGAUGUUUUCAUUAA